GGAUUCUUCAUGUAGGAUUCCACUACUAAAGCAUUCUUGAGCACCUUGAGAUGUAAAAGUUGAGGGCUUUCUGAUUUGUUAUUCCAAAAGCUGGGAGAUAUGAUAGACAUUAUCUAGAAGUUCUACUUUAGUGAUCAAAUAGAAAAUGUGUAAUGAUCACGAAGAAAAUGUGUUCUAUGGGCUGAAGUAUUUUCUGUUAGGUAGUGGGUAGGAGAUAUUCAAAUUUCAUCACUUCUCU
This 238-nucleotide unclassified non-coding RNA is filed under the name Hevea brasiliensis (rubber tree). The record is from RNAcentral. Lineage: Eukaryota; Viridiplantae; Streptophyta; Magnoliopsida; Malpighiales; Euphorbiaceae.